This 484-nucleotide ribosomal RNA is filed under the name uncultured bacterium. RNAcentral describes it as "partial 16S ribosomal RNA". It matches the Rfam family "Bacterial small subunit ribosomal RNA", at positions 30 to 507 of the family's 1533-position model. The record is from RNAcentral.
AUUGAACGCUGGCGGCAGGCCUAACACAUGCAAGUCGAGCGGAUGAAGGGAGCUUGCUCCUGGAUUCAGCGGCGGACGGGUGAGUAAUGCCUAGGAAUCUGCCUGGUAGUGGGGGAUAACGUCCGGAAACGGGCGCUAAUACCGCAUACGUCCUGAGGGAGAAAGUGGGGGAUCUUCGGACCUCACGCUAUCAGAUGAGCCUAGGUCGGAUUAGCUAGUUGGUGGGGUAAAGGCCUACCAAGGCGACGAUCCGUAACUGGUCUGAGAGGAUGAUCAGUCACAAUGGAACUGAGACACGGUCCAGACUCCUACGGGAGGCAGAAGUGGGGAAUAUUGGACAAUGGGCGAAAGCCUGAUCCAGCCAUGCCGCGUGUGUGAAGAAGGUCUUCGGAUUGUAAAGCACUUUAAGUUGGGAGGAAGGGCAGUAAGUUAAUACCUUGCUGUUUUGACGUUACCAACAGAAUAAGCAACGGCUAACUUCGUG